AUGGGCGGCGGCCGGUUCAGUCUUCGUGUUUACUGGGGCUUCAGAUUUUCAUUAUCCGGUUCCACGGCAGUGAUCGAGCGUGAUGGCGGUCAAGCGGUCCACCCUUUUGUUGAUAUUUCGAUGGGCAACUCUUCAAAAAGAAAAAAUGGUUGGUGGGUUGGCAUGGUUGUCGCUCAGUUCCAUCGUCCCAUUGACCGGGACUUCACCUUGCGAUCCUCCGGUUCCAUGGUAGUGAUCAAGCGGUUCAACCUUUUAUUGGUCUUCACGUCAGCCCCUUUUCACAUAAAAAUGGUUCGCAGGGUGGUGAGACGUCGGUCCUUCGCAAAUUCUAUUCCAGUUCCAAGUAUAAUUUUGACGGUUCCGCGGAGGUGGGAUGUCGCCCUUCGCAAAUUGCAUUCCAGUUCCAAGUAUAAUUUUGCCGGUUCCGAGGAGGUGGGGCGUUGUCCCUUCGCAAAUUCUAUUCCAGUUCCAAGUAUAGUUUUGACGGUUCCACGGAGGUGGGACGUUGUCCCUUCGCAAAUUCUAUUCCAGUUCCAAGUUCCAUCUGGCUGGUCAUAUGGGUCUUGUCCUCGUCACUCCCCUGUCGCAAACAACUGGACCACUGAUACUGCCCCGCACAGCUGCAGCCUUUGUCAGGCAAACCGACCACAGAAACUCCCCAAAACCCUCCUUAUUUUCUCUCUCACACACACUCAGCACGAAUCACGGGGAGUAUUGUUGACACAAUUUUACCGAGAUUCCCUACCAGAACAACACCAGCUCACAGCCUCACCGUGCAGGGCGCCUGCAGCCCCUGUCUUCGUUGUCGUCGUCUCCUCAGUCGAGGCAUGGGGCUCACCACAGUCUUUGUUGCUCGCAGAAGAGGAUAGGGGCCCGAGUCAUUUUCCUCAUCGUCAGGUGGCCUCACCAGAUCUGGAGGUAGAGAGCAGCCGGUGCUCCAAAUCGAUGGCGCUGGUGCGACUCAUUGUCUGGGCCCUAGCUCCGGAGGAGUUGGUUCAUCACCUAGUGGAUAGAAUGGAAGAACACCCCAAGGAUUGGCUCUUCGCUAUGAGUGAUGCUCUGAGCAGAGAUAUGUUUGCGCAUAUGAUCGUCAUCAUGUGGGCAAUUUGGCGGGCUCGUGAGCCUCGAAAGACCGUCGUGAAAGCCACGAGGCCAACCCAGUGGCAGGCCCCGGCCACGGGAUGUGUGAAAAUAAAUGUAGAUGCGGCGGCUCCCAGGCAUGCAAGAUUUGGGGCCGUGGGGGCAAUCUGUAGAAGCCCGGAUGGUGUGUUCUUGGGAACGUCAGCUUUGAUUCUGAGGCACAUCGGAGACCCGGAGACGCUAGAAGCCAUGGCGAUCAGGGAAGGGCUUGCACUUGCGGAGGACCUGCACCAAAUGACAUUCUAA
RNAcentral lists this ribosomal RNA (1386 nucleotides) under Triticum aestivum (bread wheat). RNAcentral's name for it is "partial small subunit ribosomal RNA". The record is from RNAcentral. Lineage: Eukaryota; Viridiplantae; Streptophyta; Magnoliopsida; Poales; Poaceae.